GAGCUCUGCAGUGUGUAUAUGGAUGUGUGUAUACAUACACACACGCCCAUACACACAUACCCAUACAUACACAGA
RNAcentral lists this microRNA precursor (75 nucleotides) under Procavia capensis (Cape rock hyrax). RNAcentral describes it as "miRNA (ENSPCAG00000019023.1)". The record is from RNAcentral. Lineage: Eukaryota; Metazoa; Chordata; Mammalia; Hyracoidea; Procaviidae.